GUGACGGAUAUUCAGCUCAUAGCGUAUAUUAAAGUUGUUGCAGUUAAAAAGCUCGUAGUUGAACCUUGGGCCUGGCUGGCCGGUCUGCCUCACCGCAUGUACUGGUUCGGCCGGGUCUUUCCUCCUGGGGAUCCGCAUGCCCUUCACUGGGUGUGUUGGGGAACCAGGACUUUUACUUUGAAAAAAUUAGAGUGUUCAAAGCAGGCCUUUGCUCGAAUACAUUAGCAUGGAAUAAUAGAAUAGGACGUGCGGUCCUAUUUUGUUGGUUUCUAGGACCGCCGUAAUGAUUAAUAGGGAUAGUCGGGGGCAUCAGUAUUCAGUUGUCAGAGGUGAAAUUCUUGGAUUUACUGAAGACUAACUACUGCGAAAGCUUUUGCCAAGGAUGUUUUCAUUAAUCAGUGAACGAAAGUAAGGGGAUCAAAGUUUUUUUUUUGUU
RNAcentral lists this ribosomal RNA (436 nucleotides) under Lasiodiplodia lignicola. Its description in RNAcentral is "partial 18S ribosomal RNA". It matches the Rfam family "Eukaryotic small subunit ribosomal RNA", at positions 573 to 1021 of the family's 1831-position model. Lineage: Eukaryota; Fungi; Ascomycota; Dothideomycetes; Botryosphaeriales; Botryosphaeriaceae. The record is from RNAcentral.